CCUACGGGUGGCAGCAGUGAGGAAUAUUGGUCAAUGGUCGGAAGACUGAACCAGCCAAGCCGCGUGAAGGAUGAAGGUGCCAAGCAUUGUAAACCUCUUUUGUCAGGGAACAAAGCCCGGCACGUGUCCCCGGCUGAGUGUACCUGAAGAAAAAGCAUCGGCUAACUCCGUGCCAGCAGCCGCGGUAAUACGGAGGAUGCGAGCGUUAUCCGGAUUUAUUGGGUUUAAGGGGUGCGUGGGCGGGCUGUUAAGUCAGCGGUAAAAGCCCGGGGCUCAACCCCGGCCAGCCGUUGAAACUGGCGGUCUUGAGACGGCGAGAGGUAUGCGGAAUGCGCGGUGUAGCGGUGAAAUGCUUAGAUAUUGCGCAGAACUCCGAUUGCGAAGGCAGCAUGCCGGCGCCGAACUGACGCUGAGGCACGAAAGCGUGGGUAUCGAACAGGAUUAGAUACCCCUGUAGUC
This 459-nucleotide ribosomal RNA is filed under the name uncultured bacterium. RNAcentral describes it as "partial 16S ribosomal RNA". It matches the Rfam family "Bacterial small subunit ribosomal RNA", at positions 338 to 795 of the family's 1533-position model. The record is from RNAcentral.